This 253-nucleotide ribosomal RNA is filed under the name uncultured bacterium. RNAcentral describes it as "partial 16S ribosomal RNA". It matches the Rfam family "Bacterial small subunit ribosomal RNA", at positions 524 to 776 of the family's 1533-position model. The record is from RNAcentral.
UACGUAGGGGGCAAGCGUUGUCCGGAUUUAUUGGGCGUAAAGAGCGUGUAGGCGGCCAGAUAGGUCAGCUGUGAAAACUCGAGGCUCAACCUCGAGAUGUCGGCUGAAACCAUCUGGCUAGAGUCCGGAAGAGGAGAAUGGAAUUCCCGGUGUAGCGGUGAAAUGCGCAGAUAUCGGGAGGAACACCGAUGGCGAAGGCAGGUCUCUGGGCAUUAACUGACGCUGAGGAGCGAAAGCAUGGGGAGCGAACAGG